Molecule: long non-coding RNA, 1466 nt
Organism: Acanthochromis polyacanthus (spiny chromis)
Lineage: Eukaryota; Metazoa; Chordata; Actinopteri; Pomacentridae
Exons: 3
Source: RefSeq, a predicted model, not a curated record
ACAGUUGCGGAAACAAAACUGCCGAACAAGGUGCUACUUGGUUCAGCCUAGUUGGUAUAUGAUGUUGCUACAGUGCCACCUGCCUUUUGCAAGGUGCUUGUUUUCUAUUGGUUAUCAUGGCCAUGUGAUUAGGCUCUUAGAUCAGAGUAGCCAUUUUGUUUGUUUCAGUGCAGCAUGUGCCUGUGUUUUGCAAUCCAUUGCAUCCACCGCUGUUGAGCCUUGAAAAAGCUUUGUUUUUUCACAAGAAAUAUUGUUCCUGGCAUUGUUACGGUGACAAAGAUCUUCAGUAAACAAACUUCAACUUACUAUACGUCUAAGUCAUCUUUCACCUGCCCAGCAAGUGUUUAGCUCUCUGUCACUCCGUGAAGACGCGCACGUAGGGGACAGAAUAGUGAAAAAACAGCAUCACGGCAGGCUCAACACAGCAGGAAAACACCAGCUCUUCGUCCGCUGCUCACCUCAGCAUACAAGAUGGACAACAAUGGAAACACGGAGGAUCAGCAAAAUGCUCCAGCUCGACCAUCAUCUGUUAAGUCGCAUGUGACCAGUAGCAGUCUGGAGCGGAGCAUAACAGACGGGUGGACAGAGAAGAGAGGGACACGGAUGAAAGGAGGAACUGAGACAGAACAAGAGCUGCUGUGGAGUGAGAGACGGUGGAGGCUGCUUAUCGGCGAGCGGCUGGGAAGUGAGAGACGAGGAGCGCUGCUUCUGGGGAACUGACAGAGGCGGAGAGGAUUCACCGGACAAGGUCUGGUGAGGCACCGGGCGAGAGAGAGACUGAGUGGUUGUGGGAGUGGGAGUAAAAUAAACUGUGUUACCCUGACAAUCUGCCGUUGUGUGUGUAUUGAGUGGACCUACUGGCAGACGACCUGUCACACUAACCUUCAGAUGGCGUUCAGACGAUGAGGACUCUGAUUGGUAUCGAACCUACAAGGCUAAUUAUCCUUGGUGAAGUUGUCAGAUGGUACAAACUGGCACUCAACAGUCACUGGUGUGGCAUUCUUUACAGACAUUCUGUGGGCAUGGGCAGUAGCCAUGCCUACAGUAGACAUCACAACACCCACGCACUACUUAACUACCAAGCUAACAUACUGGAGCCCCCCACUUGCAGUGUAAGUUGUGGUAUAGGAAAAUGACAUAAUAUGGUAGAACAUGGGAGCUUGAAUGUCGGAAGAUUGGCUUGAAAGUCAAUUUUACUGGAUGCUUGUUCAUGUGAACAUCUGUCUCAUCUACUCUUACUUGUAUCAGGAGGCCAGGUUGAUCCUGCUGCCUUGGAGUGCCUCUUAAAGAACUACAAAACACUAUAUGGACGAACAGUGUUGUAAAAUAUGUAAAUAACAGAAUUUGGGAUAAUCACAAAAAAAAACUGAUGUAACAUGUUACAUUGGCAAGAUCAUUUGACAAGAGUGUCUUUCAGACCAUCUCUUAGUUCUGCAGUAUUAUACAGUACUGACACGUGAGCAUGG